GACGAACGCUGGCGGCGUGCUUAACACAUGCAAGUCGAGCGGUAAGGCCCUUUCGGGGUACGACGAGCGGCGAACGGGUGGAGUAACACGUGGGUGGACCUCGCCCUCCAGCUCUGGGAGUAAGCCCGGGAAACGUGGGUCUAAUACCGGAUAUGACUUCAUGACGCAUGUUGUGGAGUGGAAAGCCUUGUGCGGCUGAGGAUGGGCCCGCGGCCUAUCAGCUUGUUGGUGGGGGGA
Molecule: ribosomal RNA, 237 nt
Filed under: uncultured bacterium
Lineage: Bacteria
Description: partial 16S ribosomal RNA
Rfam family: Bacterial small subunit ribosomal RNA
Source: RNAcentral